This 482-nucleotide ribosomal RNA is filed under the name uncultured bacterium. Its description in RNAcentral is "partial 16S ribosomal RNA". It matches the Rfam family "Bacterial small subunit ribosomal RNA", at positions 28 to 507 of the family's 1533-position model. The record is from RNAcentral.
GACGAACGCUGGCGGCGUGCUUAACACAUGCAAGUCGAACGAUGAAGCAGAGAAACGCGAGCGUCGGUGCGACUUUCACUUCGGUUUAGUGGCAGACGGGUGAGUAACACGUGAGCAACCUACCUCUUACAAAGGGAUAGCCUCGGGAAACCGUGUUUAAUACCAUAUGACACAUUCAUAAGGCAUCUUAAGUAUGUUAAAGCUACGGCGGGAAGCGAUGGGGUCGCGUCCCAUUAGCUAGGUGGUGAGGUAACGGCACGCCAAGGCGACGAUGGGUAACCGGGCGGAGAGGCGGAAAGAUUACAAUGGAAAUGAGACACGGACCAAACUGGGAGGCGGAGGUGGAGUGUGGUACACUGUACACGGGAGGGAAAUGCAGUGAAGCCACGUGGGGGGAGAGAUGAAGGAAUUCGUAUCGUAAAGCUCUGUGGUAUGGGAAGAAAAGGACUGUACCAUAGGAGAAAGCCCCGGCUAAAUACGUG